AAAAAAAGAAGAAAAAAG
Molecule: small RNA, 18 nt
Filed under: Arabidopsis thaliana (thale cress)
Lineage: Eukaryota; Viridiplantae; Streptophyta; Magnoliopsida; Brassicales; Brassicaceae
Description: ATSL302590
Source: RNAcentral